RNAcentral lists this ribosomal RNA (637 nucleotides) under Tulasnella sp. 042327G. RNAcentral describes it as "eukaryotic LSU rRNA". The stretch from base 211 to 374 matches the Rfam family "5.8S ribosomal RNA". Lineage: Eukaryota; Fungi; Basidiomycota; Agaricomycetes; Cantharellales; Tulasnellaceae. The record is from RNAcentral.
UUCCGUAGGUGAACCUGCGGAAGGAUCAUAGUAAUCGUCUUUGACGUUCGCUUAUUCCGUUGUCCUCGGGACGUUAAAGCGCUCUGGUCGAGGAUAAACGACCCCUCUGACCGAGGUAAAACCUGUCGCUCUGUGUUACCUCUUUCACCGAGGCACACGUUAAAGAUUGUUCCGCAUUGUGAGUCUAACACCAGUUGUAUAAACUUUUACAACCGGUAGCGAUGGAUCCCUUGGCACGUCAUUCGAUGAAGACCGUUGCAAAUUGCGAUAAAGUGAUGUGAUGCGCAAGUCCACCACUUAUACGUGAAUCAUCGAGUUGUUGAACGCAUUGCACCGCGCCCUAAUCCGGCUGCGGUAUGCCCCUUUGAGCGUCAUUGUAUUCCUUCGGGAGUCCUUUUUACAAAGGACCCGAGUUCGGAGUCCUCGGUCCUCUGGAUCGUGUUCUCUUAGAUGCGUCGCACCGAUCGCCUGAUGGGUCUCUAAUGCCUAAGCGUGGAGUUCCUUCAGAGUCCGAGACGUGCUUGACCGGGUGUUGAGCUCGCGUCACCAAGUCUGCCUUCACAAGCAGUACUACAACGCAUGACCUCAUUGGGGUAGGACAACCCGCUAGACUUAAGCAUAUCAAUAAGCGGAGGAA